GGGGCUGAUUCUGGAUUCGACGGGAUUUGCGAAACCCAAGGUGCAUGCCGAGGGGCGGUUGGCCUCGUAAAAAGCCGCAAAAAAUAGUCGCAAACGACGAAAACUACGCUUUAGCAGCUUAAUAACCUGCUUAGAGCCCUCUCUCCCUAGCCUCCGCUCUUAGGACGGGGAUCAAGAGAGGUCAAACCUAAAAGAGAUCGCGUGGAAGCCCUGCCUGGGGUUGAAGCGUUAAAACUUAAUCAGGCUAGUUUGUUAGUGGCGUGUCCGUCCGCAGCUGGCAAGCGAAUGUAAAGACUGACUAAGCAUGUAGUACCGAGGAUGUAGGAAUUUCGGACGCGGGUUCAACUCCCGCCAGCUCCACCA
Molecule: transfer-messenger RNA, 363 nt
Filed under: Escherichia coli
Lineage: Bacteria; Pseudomonadati; Pseudomonadota; Gammaproteobacteria; Enterobacterales; Enterobacteriaceae
Also listed under: 1 other name
Description: Standard tmRNA
Rfam family: transfer-messenger RNA
About the family: Bacterial tmRNA, also known as 10Sa RNA or SsrA, is named for its dual tRNA and mRNA-like properties. Its role is to liberate the mRNA from a stalled ribosome.
Source: RNAcentral